RNAcentral lists this ribosomal RNA (389 nucleotides) under uncultured bacterium. RNAcentral's name for it is "bacterial SSU rRNA". It matches the Rfam family "Bacterial small subunit ribosomal RNA", at positions 28 to 417 of the family's 1533-position model. The record is from RNAcentral.
GACGAACGCUGGCGGCGCGCUUAACACAUGCAAGUCGAACGUGAAGCCCGGGCUUGCCCGGGUGGAAAGUGGCGAACGGGUGCGUAACACGUGAGCAACCUGCCCCGAAGACCGGGAUAACACCGGGAAACCGGUGCUAAUACCGGAUGCCCUCAUCAUGUCGCAUGGCGAGAUGAGGAAAUGGAUUCCGCUUCGGGAUGGGCUCGCGGCCUAUCAGCUUGUUGGGAGGUAAAGGCUCACCAAGGCUACGACGGGUAGCUGGUCUGAGAGGAUGUCCAGCCACACUGGGACUGAGACACGGCCCAGACUCCUACGGGAGGCAGCAGUGGGGAAUCUUGCACAAUGGGCGAAAGCCUGAUGCAGCGACGCCGCGUGCGGGAUGACGGCCU